AGGGUUCGAUCAUGGCUCAGGAUGAACGCUGGCGGCGUGCCUAACACAUGCAAGUCGAACGAGGUAUUUUGAUUGAAGUUUUCGGAUGGAUUUCAAGAUACCGAGUGGCGGACGGGUGAGUAACGCGUGGGUAACCUGCCUCAUACAGGGGGAUAACAGUUAGAAAUGACUGCUAAUACCGCAUAAGACCACAGCACCGCAUGGUGCAGGGGUAAAAACUCCGGUGGUAUGAGAUGGACCCGCGUCUGAUUAGGUAGUUGGUGGGGUAACGGUCUACCAAGCCGACGAUCAGUAGCCGACCUGAGAGGGUGACCGGCCACAUUGGGACUGAGACACGGCCCAA
Molecule: ribosomal RNA, 343 nt
Filed under: uncultured bacterium
Lineage: Bacteria
Description: bacterial SSU rRNA
Rfam family: Bacterial small subunit ribosomal RNA
Source: RNAcentral